AGUUUCCUGUGUUGUGGGUUUUACAUGGUAUACUGUGGACUUUGAAGCGCUGAUCCAUCAAAGGUGGCUUUGGUGAAGGCGAAGGUGGUGGCAGCAGCAUCGCCUGCAAAAAACUGAUCGUCAGAGGCACUGAGAAAGAGGCGAAGAGAUGUACUGUGUCGGAAGGCACUUCCCAGAGGAAUCUCUGCGUUUGGAAGAGACAGCUCGAUGCCGCGGCGCUGCAGUCGUCCCAUCUUUCGGGAAAGGUGGACCUGACGGUAACGACGGACACACAAAUGGAAAAGCUCGGCAAUUUGGCAAUGCUGUGGAGCUGAAAGGUGUACCGGAGGAGGAAUCGGGUGUCACCGUUAGGGCUUCAGUCACUGGAGUGGCGAUCAAGGGGGGCGUCAAGUGUGCCCUGUGCCCCGUAUAUGACGACUUGCAGCGCCUUGGCAUGGAUCUGUCUCUCCCAGACGCAGAUUGAUCUGGGCAGUGCCAUUGCAUUACAGACUUAUUCAUGAACGAACCUUCCUGCCUGCCGGUACACAAAUUUAUGUGGUGCUUUUAUGCGUUCUCCAGAACCUAUUUAUAAAUAGUUUUAUGUAAGCUGUCGCAAGUUUGUCUUGGUUCUCAUGAUGGUCCUUUAUGGGGUGUGCUUUGGUGAAUGCGUUUUUAGGAUGCUAUCUAUUUUUUUCUUUUUCUUUUUUUUCCACACCAUGCAGUGUUUGCCAUGCGCGAAACUUUUAAAUAAUAUAAUUUAUCCGUCUCUUUUUAGCCGAGGAAGAUUAACAUGUCCAAAUUUGUGUAUAUAAAGUGUGUGUGUGUAUAUUAUACGAUUUUGGUAGAAUAUUUGCAUCAUUUGUGAAUAACUGCGUAACUCCAG
Brienomyrus brachyistius is the source of this 862-nucleotide long non-coding RNA. RefSeq lists it as uncharacterized. The transcript has 3 exons. The record is from RefSeq and is a predicted model, not a curated record. NCBI's taxonomy places the organism in Eukaryota, Metazoa, Chordata, Actinopteri, Osteoglossiformes, Mormyridae.